This is a transfer RNA of Ovis aries (sheep), 72 nucleotides long. It matches the Rfam family "tRNA". Rfam says of the family: Transfer RNA (tRNA) molecules are approximately 80 nucleotides in length. Their secondary structure includes four short double-helical elements and three loops (D, anti-codon, and T loops). The record is from Rfam. NCBI's taxonomy places the organism in Eukaryota, Metazoa, Chordata, Mammalia, Artiodactyla, Bovidae.
UCCCUUGUGGCUCAGAGGCUAAAGCGUCUGCCUGCAAUGCAGGAGACCUGGGUUCGAUCCCUGGGUCGGGAA